CAUGAAAAACUUUCUUUCCAUUUGUCCCGGUUAGAAGAUAAUUGUCCUCAAUGCAAAAUUUUGCUACAAACGAAUAUGUGGAAGGAUGAAGAAGACGGAUCAAGAUUAUGUUCUUCAAAGCUUGGAGGAAUAAUUUCUAUCCUUUGAGGUGAGGGAGGAGUAGGCUAAGAUACACUAGCCUUUCCCACCCUUGCUUAGCUUAAACCAACUCCAAUCUUCCUCUUCUUGGCAACACUC
This 237-nucleotide long non-coding RNA is filed under the name Manihot esculenta (cassava). RNAcentral's name for it is "long non-coding RNA (MESC_LNC000014)". Lineage: Eukaryota; Viridiplantae; Streptophyta; Magnoliopsida; Malpighiales; Euphorbiaceae. The record is from RNAcentral.